Molecule: non-coding RNA, 92 nt
Filed under: Paraburkholderia sp. BL21I4N1
Lineage: Bacteria; Pseudomonadati; Pseudomonadota; Betaproteobacteria; Burkholderiales; Burkholderiaceae
Source: RNAcentral
UCCAAUGGGCGGGUGGUGGCAAGGGAGCCGCGAGGCUCGCCGGCUUGUUCGAGGCCUGGUCUUCCAACCUUGUCACUCGCCCGCUCACCAUG